AGGAAGGGGUGGGAAACAUGAUAAUGACAGCCCGGGCUCUCGCCGGCCGGGCUCCUUCUCUCGCUGGCUCCGCGGAUAUUUUGGGAGGCCCGUCGGUGCCAGGCGCAGUCAGCAGCGAUGUUGAAACUGAGGCUCAGAGAAGUGAGGAGCUUUGGCCAAAUUCUCAGAACUAGAAAUGGAUUUCCAGGCCAACUGACCCCUGAGGCUGAACCCCCAGACACAGAUGAGGAAAUUCAAGAUGGGAGAGCCAAAUGCUGCUGCAGAAGUCUUUAGCAGGUCACCCGACUCUCCUGGCCACCCCAUGAGAAAACAUCCUAGGGAGGCAGGGGUUCCAGGCACUCAGGUGUCCGUGUUGGCAUAGCUCACUGCCCUGCACCACUGUGCUGAGGCCAUUAGGGUUUGAGGGCCCACAGCCAAGAGUCACUGUAUUUGUGCAAAGUCAUAGAUGCAAACAAGACACCUCGGGACAUCCAGCUCCUACUGCUUGGGUCAUGGCCUGGGAGGCAAGGAUUGGGUUUCCCCCCCUGCAUCUGCCCCAGAGGUGCUUUGUGACCAUGACCAGCAAGCCACUUCCCUGGACUAGACUUCAGUGUCCUCAUCAAUAAAAACCAAUAAUUUUAAAUUUCUUAACACACCCAGGGCACCUUUCAACAUCUACAGAUAAACAAAUGGCUGUCACUUUAAGUAGCUGCCUCCCCUUAGAAGGGAUAAGACUAAGUAGGAUUAAAUGGCAGGAACAGACUCAGGACAAAUGUCUCCCAAAUCAGCUCAUGCUGUAGCAUCCUGGGCAGGGCUGGGGAGCACCCUCCUCCCCACCGGCUCUCAGUCCCCACCCCAACCCUAACUCCAGUCGGGUAGGGUCCUCUGACCAUGUGAAUACCCAAGACACUAUGCAGACAGUGAAAGAGGAUUCUAAAAUAACACUCUGACACCCAGGCCAAGCCAUUUGAAACCGUGUGCUACAUCUCCAGGGCAGAGGUUUGCAGUUUGUCGUCAAACUAUCAUGGGAGUCGUGGUUUGCGAACAGGAAGCAGCCUCUCAGAUUAUCUCGUCCACGUACGGUUUCAACAUCACCCGACCCCCCCACCCUCAAAUACACACACAUGCUCAUGGCCGCAGCCUUCUCGAUUGCAGCCCUCAAAUGCAGGGGCGCAUACGUUAAGGUCCAAGUCUAGCACCCAUUCCUCAACUCUGCAGCUCCAGUACUAGAAGAUAUAAUACAACUCAUUCAGGAAAAGCUUCAAAACAGGUUUUCCUUUCUCUGUACAUGAGGUGUCCAGGUGCAUAUAACAAAUAUACCCAUCAGCAGAAAUAAAAACUCUUAAUGUUGCCCAGGGUCGCACAGAAAUAGAAUUCAACAAAAAUGAUACCAAUAGCUAACAUUUAUUCAAUGUUUACUAUGUGUUAGGCCCUGUAAUCAUGCGUUAACUUAACCUUCCCAACCCUUUAUGAGAAAGUACUAUUCCUAUUUCAGAGAUGUAGAAAUUGAAGCUCAGGGAAGAUAAAU
This is a long non-coding RNA of Felis catus (domestic cat), 1507 nucleotides long. RefSeq lists it as uncharacterized. The record is from RefSeq and is a predicted model, not a curated record. Lineage: Eukaryota; Metazoa; Chordata; Mammalia; Carnivora; Felidae. The transcript has 2 exons.